AGGGUCUACCUACAGUACCUACGACGUAUAUACGAUACGUUUUACGAACUAUUAAAAUAUAUAUAUGGAAAAUAUAUGGAAAUAUAUGGCGAGGAGAAAUUCACGUGAAGCACGCAAGCACCGUUUUUACGAACGUUGCAACACUUAUGCAUAAAGCAUAAAGCACUCCAAACAAUUCAUCUUAAUUAGACACCUGUCGAUCUUAAUUACACACCUGUGAAUCUCUUCUCGAAGAAGGAAAAUUUUACUAUAAUCUCAAUCGGAUCCGGGUGACGUCGAUUGAAAGCCCUAAAGGCCAUCAAAAUGAGACGAAGAGAAGAAAGAAAAAGAAAUCACGCAGUCACGCAUUUAUUUACCUGAACGACGAAAGGGCGGUGAAGUAAGAUAUGGCUGCCUGCACCAUCUUAAAAUUCAAAUUGACUAUAUAUCCCCAC
Molecule: long non-coding RNA, 434 nt
Organism: Wasmannia auropunctata (little fire ant)
Lineage: Eukaryota; Metazoa; Arthropoda; Insecta; Hymenoptera; Formicidae
Exons: 3
Source: RefSeq, a predicted model, not a curated record